CACGCACUUAAUGGAGGUGUGAGCAUUGCUCAUGACCAGGCGGAGGUUCUGCAGGGCUGUGUCUGUGUUCUGCUUCACCACGGUCAGGCUGGCACCCUCGCCCGAGCGCAGGACUUCGUUGUCGUGCUUGAGUUUCAGCACCUGGUUUUCUGCCUUCAUGGCCCGUUUCUGCUCCAAGACAGCGGAAGUCAGUGUGGGCCCUGCGGCUCGCUUCCCCCCCCUCCCCUGCCCUGGCUCUGGCCGUACCGUCAUCAGCUCCAGGUUCUGCUCCACCUGCUGGACCACGGACUCCAGGUCAUGGUAGUCGCUCUCCUCCUUGGCCAUCUUCGCCUCCAGCUUCCGCUCGAGCGUCCUCACCCUCAGCACACAAGAAAGGGCGGGCUGUCGAGAGAAAACCCUGAUUAGACGGGGGCCGAGAGACCGGCCGGCCAGCGUGGGUCCACCGACACGGCCCCUCCUGCCCACACGGGCUGCUCAAGUCUUGACUUGGAACGCGGGACCAGGCGGGCGCGAAGGCGGGGGUGUGGCUCGGCUGCCCUCGGGGCCCCCAGAGGGAAGCUCCCCGUCCGCCAGCCC
This is a long non-coding RNA of Sorex araneus (European shrew), 576 nucleotides long. RefSeq lists it as uncharacterized. The transcript is spliced from 3 exons. NCBI's taxonomy places the organism in Eukaryota, Metazoa, Chordata, Mammalia, Eulipotyphla, Soricidae. The record is from RefSeq and is a predicted model, not a curated record.